CAAUAGCGUAUAUUAAAGUUGUUGCAGUUAAAAAGCUCGUAGUUGGAUUUCUGGUGGGAGCGAUCGGUCUGGCGCUUAGCGCGAGUACUUGCAUCGUCUCCGGCCAUCCUUGGGGAGAGUCUGUCUGGCAUUAGGCUGUCGGGCAGAGGAUCCUCAUCGUUUACUGUGAAAAAAUUAGAGUGUUCAAAGCAGGCUUAUGCCGUUGAAUAUAUUAGCAUGGAAUAAUAAGAUAGGACUUUGGUACUAUUUUGUUGGUUUGCGCACCAAAGUAAUGAUUAAUAGGGACAGUUGGGGGUAUUCGUAUUCCGUUGUCAGAGGUGAAAUUCUUGGAUUUACGGAAGACGAACUACUGCGAAAGCAUUUACCAAGGAUGUUUUCAUUAA
This 383-nucleotide ribosomal RNA is filed under the name uncultured eukaryote. RNAcentral describes it as "partial 18S ribosomal RNA". It matches the Rfam family "Eukaryotic small subunit ribosomal RNA", at positions 592 to 976 of the family's 1831-position model. The record is from RNAcentral.